RNAcentral lists this ribosomal RNA (33 nucleotides) under Oxytropis pilosa. RNAcentral describes it as "partial 25S ribosomal RNA". RNAcentral also lists the same sequence under 1 other name. The record is from RNAcentral. Lineage: Eukaryota; Viridiplantae; Streptophyta; Magnoliopsida; Fabales; Fabaceae.
GAGACCUCAGGUCAGGCGGGGCUACCCGCUGAG